Molecule: unclassified non-coding RNA, 336 nt
Filed under: soil metagenome
Description: partial contains 5.8S ribosomal RNA, internal transcribed spacer 2, and large subunit ribosomal RNA
Rfam family: 5.8S ribosomal RNA (bases 1-120)
Source: RNAcentral
GAUGAAGAACGUAGCGAAAUGCGAUAAGUAAUGUGAAUUGCAGAAUUCAGUGAAUCAUCGAAUCUUUGAACGCACAUUGCGCCCGCCAGUAUUCUGGCGGGUAUGCCUGUUCGAGCGUCAUUUCAACCAUCAAGCCCCAGGCUUGUGUUGGGGACCUGCGGCUGCCGCAGGCCCUGAAAACCAGUGGCGGGCUCGCUGUCACACCGGGCGUAGUAGAUUUUAUCUCGCUCAGGGCGUGCUGCGGGUUCCGGCCGUUAAAAAGCCUUUUUUACCCAAGGUUGACCUCGGAUCAGGUAGGAAGACCCGCUGAACUUAAGCAUAUCAAUAAGCGGAGGA